This 518-nucleotide long non-coding RNA is filed under the name Medicago truncatula (barrel medic). Its description in RNAcentral is "long non-coding RNA (MTRU_LNC008068)". Lineage: Eukaryota; Viridiplantae; Streptophyta; Magnoliopsida; Fabales; Fabaceae. The record is from RNAcentral.
GCUUUCUUUCACCUCACGCGAUUUCUGAAAAUUCUCCUUUCUUCAUCGUUUCAGCACCAUUCUUUCUUUAGUCAUUGUUCUACUCCGAAAACGGUCAUUCCGGCGAUAUCUCCACAACCACUUCUUAGUUCCGACGAUAUCUCGACAACCACUUCUCAAUUUCGGUUAUUAACAGGUUGGAAAUUGUUCACCCUAAUUUGAUUCACAUUUUUCCCAAUUUAAUUCAAUACCCCAAUUUUUUACAUCUUGUUUUGUUGUUGCGACUUUAAGAAUCCUUUUCAGCAUUUUGGGUGUUGUUAUGCUUGGAACCUUUAUAUACACUCUUGUCACUGAUGGUUCUCCUUUCCGUACAGCUAUUGACUCCGUAAGUUCUCAUGUUAGCAUGAACUGCGUGAAUGGAGCAUACAUUUUCUUCUUGUUAAAAGGAACAUUCCUCUCCCAUUAUAUGUACUUCUUUUAGUAGACAUAGAUUGUGGUGUGGACAAUAUUGAAUUUGAAAGUUGUGAUUUAUUAAGUGC